CAGUCGCCGCGGGAAUACGGAGGGGGCUAGCGUUGUUCGGAAUUACUGGGCGUAAAGCGCACGUAGGCGGCUUGGUAAGUUAGAGGUGAAAGCUCGGAGCUCAACUCCGGAAUUGCCUUUAAGACUGCCGAGCUAGCAGGUGAGAGAGGUAAGUGGAAUUCCGAGUGUAGAGGUGAAAUUCGUAGAUAUUCGGAAGAACACCAGUGGCGAAGGCGGCUUACUGGCUCAUACUGGACGCUGAGGUGCGAAAGCGUGGGGAGCAAACAGGAUUAGAGACCCCCGUAGUCCCUGUCUCUUAUAC
RNAcentral lists this ribosomal RNA (301 nucleotides) under uncultured bacterium. Its description in RNAcentral is "partial 16S ribosomal RNA". It matches the Rfam family "Bacterial small subunit ribosomal RNA", at positions 509 to 807 of the family's 1533-position model. The record is from RNAcentral.